GGUCUCAUCGUCUAACGGUUAGGACAGGGGACUUUCAAUCCUCCAAUCGGGGUUCGAUUCCCCGUGGGACCG
This 72-nucleotide transfer RNA is filed under the name candidate division SR1 bacterium CG_4_9_14_3_um_filter_40_9. RNAcentral describes it as "tRNA-Glu". It matches the Rfam family "tRNA". From Rfam's summary of the family: Transfer RNA (tRNA) molecules are approximately 80 nucleotides in length. Their secondary structure includes four short double-helical elements and three loops (D, anti-codon, and T loops). Lineage: Bacteria; Candidatus Absconditibacteriota. RNAcentral also lists the same sequence under 2 other names. The record is from RNAcentral.